GACGAACGCUGGCGGCGUGCUUAACACAUGCAAGUCGAACGGUGAACGAGGGAGCUUGCUCCCUCCGGAUCAGUGGCGAACGGGUGAGUAACACGUGAGCAAUCUGCCCCGAACUCUGGGAUAAGCGUUGGAAACGACGUCUAAUACCGGAUACGACGCGGGAGGGCAUCCUCUCCGCGUGGAAAGAACUUCGGUUCGGGAUGAGCUCGCGGCCUAUCAGCUUGUUGGUGAGGUAACGGCUCACCAAGGCGACGACGGGUAGCCGGCCUGAGAGGGUGACCGGCCACACUGGGACUGAGACACGGCCCAGACUCCUACGGGAGGCAGCAGUGGGGAAUAUUGCACAAUGGGCGCAAGCCUGAUGCAGCAACGCCGCGUGAGGGACGACGGCCUUCGGGCUGUAAACCUCUUUUAGCAGGGAAGAAGCGAAAGUGACGGUACCUGCAGAAAAAGCACCGGCUAACUACGU
Molecule: ribosomal RNA, 469 nt
Filed under: uncultured bacterium
Lineage: Bacteria
Description: partial 16S ribosomal RNA
Rfam family: Bacterial small subunit ribosomal RNA
Source: RNAcentral